GCCACCCCACCUCUCCCAUUUUCUCCAUUUAAGGAACCCCAUGAAAGCUUGAUUCAAGCUUUUCAAAACCCUCAUUUAGGCCAUAAUUUCCCUAAUCCACUAAAUUAAACCUUGAUUUAGCACCUUAGUUCAACUAUUAAUCAAGAAAAGGAAGGAAGAAAAAUAGAGAUUUGAAGAUUGGAAAUUCAAAGAAGGAGUUGAAAAAGACCUAGAAGAUAUAAGGGACUGAGUCAAGGCCUAGAGGCGACUCAUGUCAGAUAGAGAAAAGGACAUAGCAGCAGAGCGAGCUGCUACAGUUAGAGAGGAGAACAAUUGAAGAAUUUUUGUACGGGUAUUUGUCUAUACCCUGGUAGUUUAGUUUGAUGUAAAUAUGAUAGUAUGCAUAUGUAUCUCUGUAAUUUGAGCAGUUGCACAGAUAAAAUUGUAAUAUUAUUAUUUUUGAGAUUUUGCAUCUGUAAAAUUAACUUAUGAUUGUAAAUUAAUGAUUUAAAAUACAA
Molecule: long non-coding RNA, 497 nt
Organism: Hevea brasiliensis (rubber tree)
Lineage: Eukaryota; Viridiplantae; Streptophyta; Magnoliopsida; Malpighiales; Euphorbiaceae
Exons: 3
Source: RefSeq, a predicted model, not a curated record